Molecule: ribosomal RNA, 465 nt
Filed under: uncultured bacterium
Lineage: Bacteria
Description: partial 16S ribosomal RNA
Rfam family: Bacterial small subunit ribosomal RNA
Source: RNAcentral
GACGAACGCUGGCGGCGUGCUUAAUACAUGCAAGUCGAACGGAAAGGCCCUGCUUGCAGGGUACUCGAGUGGCGAACGGGUGAGUAACACGUGGGUGAUCUGCCCUGCACUUCGGGAUAAGCCUGGGAAACUGGGUCUAAUACCGGAUAGGAGCCAUUUUUAGUGUGAUGGUUGGAAAGUUUUUUCGGUGUAGGAUGAGCUCGCGGCCUAUCAGCUUGUUGGUGGGGUAAUGGCCUACCAAGGCGGCGACGGGUAGCCGGCCUGAGAGGGUGGACGGCCACAUUGGGACUGAGAUACGGCCCAGACUCCUACGGGAGGCAGCAGUGGGGAAUAUUGCACAAUGGGCGCAAGCCUGAUGCAGCGACGCCGCGUGGGGGAUGACGGCCUUCGGGUUGUAAACUCCUUUCGCUAGGGACGAAGCUUUUUGUGACGGUACCUAGAGAAGAAGCACCGGCUAACUACGUG